RNAcentral lists this ribosomal RNA (461 nucleotides) under uncultured bacterium. RNAcentral's name for it is "partial 16S ribosomal RNA". It matches the Rfam family "Bacterial small subunit ribosomal RNA", at positions 29 to 507 of the family's 1533-position model. The record is from RNAcentral.
AUAAACGCUGGCGGCGUGCUUAACACAUGCAAGUCGAACGAAGUUUUUCUUUCGGGAGGAACUUAGUGGCGGACGGGUGAGUAACGCGUGGGUAACCUGCCCUGUACAGGGGGACAACAGCUGGAAACGGCUGCUAAUACCGCAUAAGCCCUUAGCACUGCAUGGUGCAUAGGGAAAAGGAGCAAUCCGGUACAGGAUGGACCCGCGUCUGAUUAGCCAGUUGGCAGGGUAACGGCCUACCAAAGCGACGAUCAGUAGCCGAUCUGAGAGGAUGUACGGCCACAUUGGGACUGAGACACGGCCCAGACUCCUACGGGAGGAAGCAGUGGGGAAUAUUGCACAAUGGGGUAAACUCUGAUGCAGCGACGCCGCGUGAGUGAAGAAGUAUUUCGGUAUGUAAAGCUCUAUCAGCAGGAAAGAAAAUGACGGUGCCUGACUAAGAAACACGGGCUAAAUACGUG